This 515-nucleotide ribosomal RNA is filed under the name uncultured Planctomycetota bacterium. Its description in RNAcentral is "bacterial SSU rRNA". It matches the Rfam family "Bacterial small subunit ribosomal RNA", at positions 117 to 643 of the family's 1533-position model. The record is from RNAcentral. Lineage: Bacteria; Pseudomonadati; Planctomycetota.
GUGGGUAACCUACCCUGGGGACCGGGAUAGCCUUCCUAACGGAUGGGUAAUACCGGGCGAUCUGCCGAGGGGGCAUCUCCUUGUCAGGAAAUGAGUUUCGCCUCGGGAGGGGCUCACGUGAUAUUAGCUAGUUGGUGAGGUAACGGCUCACCAAGGCAAAGAUGCCUAGCAGGUGUGAGAGCACGACCUGCGCCACUGGCACUGAGACACUGGCCAGACACCUACGGGUGGCUGCAGUCGAGGAUCUUCGGCAAUGGGCGCAAGCCUGACCGAGCGACGCCGCGUGUGCGAUGAAGGCCUUCGGGUUGUAAAGCACUGUCGAGGGGGAGGAAGCCGCAAGGUUGACCUAUCCCUGGAGGAAGCACGGGCUAAGUUCGUGCCAGCAGCCGCGGUAAGACGAACCGUGCGAACGUUGUUCGGAAUCACGGGGCUUAAAGGGCGCGUAGGCGGGUCGGCAAGUCCGGGGUGAAAGCCCCCAGCUCAACUGGGGAAGGGCCUUGGAAACUGCCGGUCUC